GAUAACAAAGCGUCCUGGAAUCUUUUCUAAGUACCAUGCCUCUGUGCUGUCCAGACACCUCAACAUAAAGGUCGAGGGAGUUUUUCCAAGAUGGUCUGAACCUUCCUGACACCGUCUCUCCUGGCCUGACGCACAUCGGCUCGUCCCUCGGGGUCCACUGAAUCCAGGGCCAGCAGCUCUUUGGUCAAAUACUCUUCGAUCAUCAGGUGUGAAGCUGAACAGAUUCAGACGGAGCUGAGAGGCAAGCAUGACUCAGGGUGCAGAUAGGACACGGGAGUUUGUGCCCAGGAACAACGCUGGCACACACCACAGGAUGAUGUGCAGACAGGAAAAUGAGAGGACUUACUGCUUAGGAAUCCUACUAGGAAUGCCUCAAAUCUCAGCUAAGAACCAGAUUAAGAACUAUUUUUUAGCUAUUAAUGCACAGAAUCCAUUGACAUAUCCCUGAGAUGUUUGGCUUCAGGAUUAAAAUGCUGUCUUAAAGCAGCUGC
RNAcentral lists this long non-coding RNA (491 nucleotides) under Homo sapiens (human). RNAcentral's name for it is "non-protein coding lnc-TIAL1-1:1". Lineage: Eukaryota; Metazoa; Chordata; Mammalia; Primates; Hominidae. The record is from RNAcentral.